Anolis carolinensis (green anole) is the source of this 6176-nucleotide long non-coding RNA. RefSeq lists it as uncharacterized. The transcript is spliced from 2 exons. NCBI's taxonomy places the organism in Eukaryota, Metazoa, Chordata, Lepidosauria, Squamata, Anolidae. The record is from RefSeq and is a predicted model, not a curated record.
GACGCCGGGCUCGCCUGGAGAAGCAGGCCGCGUUUGGAGGGCUUUUUGGAGGGACGGGAUUAUAGAGCAGGCCUGGGCCAACUUCGGCCCUCCCUCCAGGGGUUUUGGACUUCAACUCCCACAAUUCCUAACAGCCGGUAGGCUGUUAGGAAUUGUGGGAGUUGAAGUCCAAAACCCCUGGAGGGAGGGCCGAAGUUGGCCCAGGCCUGGCUUUUGAUGCAUUUACACCAGGCAUAGGCAAACUUGGGUCCUCCAGGUGUUUUGGACUUCAACUUCCACAAUUCCUAACAGCCGAUAGGCUGUUAGGAAUUGUGGGAGUUGAAGUCCAAAACACCUGGAGAGCCCAAGUUUGCCCAUGCCUGAUUUACACCAUACAAUUAAGGCACUUUUGACAUGACUUUUAACUGCUAUGAAAUCCUGGGAAUUGUAGUUUGGUGAAACACCAGCACUACUCCGCAGAGAAAGCUAACGGUUCCUUUGCUGUGAGUUUUCCAGUCUGCAUGGCCAUGUUCCAGGAGCAUUCUCUGCUGACGUUUCGCCUGCAUCCAAGAGGAGGUAGGCAUCCUCAGAAAUCUGUGGGAAUGAGGCAAGUGGGGUGUAUAUACUGGAUUGCUGUGUGUUUUUCCAGGCUGUAUGGCCAUGUUCCAGAAGCAUGCUCUCCUGAUGUUUCAGCCACAUCUAUGGCAGGCAUCCUCAGAGGUCUGUUGGAAACUAGGCAAGCUGAGUUUAUAUAUCUGGAAUAUCCAGAGUGGGAGAAAAAACUGUUGUCUAUUUGAGGAAAGUGUGAAUGUUGCAAGUGAACACCUUGAUUAGUAUUGAAUGGCCUUGCAGCUUCAAAGCCUAUCACCUUCCUGCCUGGGGGAAUCCUUUGUUGGGAAGUGAUUAUCUGGCCCUGAUUGUUUCUUGUCUGAAAUUCCCCUGUUUUUGAGUGUUGUUCUUUAUUUACUGUCCUGAUUUUAGAAUUUUUGUAAUAUUGUUAUCCAUGUUUUGUUCAUUUUCAUGGUAUCUCUGUUGAAAUGCUUGUGGAUUUUAAUGGCUUUUCUGUAUCUAUAUAUAUGGAAGCGGACAACUCCCAUGUCAGCUCCACUAACUAUCGAGCCGUGUCCAAGCUGGACACAAAGUGCUGGUUAUUGCCUAUAAAACCCACCAGUUGAGAACUGCUGCCCUAAAUAUUUAGGGCCCAGACUAUUUGACAAAGUGCAUCCCUGCCUACAAACACACCCAGACACUGCGAUCAUUUGAGGGAACCCUACUUUCAGUCCCACCCCGUCUCAAGCGCGGUUCACACCAGAGAGGGGGCCUUCUCUGUGGUUGCCCCUUCCCUCUGGAACUUCCUCCCUAAAGAAAUCAGAACAGCUUCUUCUCUACUUUCUUUCAAGAAACAACUAAAAACUUACUUUUGUACGCUAGCUUAUGGACAGCAAGAUGAUUAAUUUUUACCUCCAAUUCUAACACGUCUGAUGGUGUUGGCAAUGAAUUCCUUAACUUAUUGAAGAGCUAUAUAUUUUUUAUAUUUUAUACAGAUUUCAACAGCAUAACUGCUUCAUGGGGUUAUUUAUGGGGUCUGACUGAAUUAGUUGUUAUGUCUUUUAGCCAAGUAUCCCACCUGGAAUACUCUACAGAUAGAUGGAGUCUGUGCCUCAUUUCCACAGACCUCUGAACAGACCUCUGAGGAUGCCUGCCAUAGAUGCAGGCGAAACAUCAGGAGAAAAUGCUCCUGAAACAUGGCCAUACAGCCCAGAAAAUUCACUACAUCCCAGUGAUUCUGGCCAUGAAAGCCUUCGACAACACAAAGCUAAUGGUUGUAUAAAACUACCCCUCCCAUGAUUCUGUAACAUUGAGCCAGAGUAGUUAAAGUGCCACCAGACUGUAUUCAUUUUACAGUGUAGAUCAGGCCUGGGCCAAAUUUGGCCCUCCUCCAGGUGUUUUGGCCAAUUCCUAACAGCCUACUGGCUCAUGCCUGGAUUGUAGAUGCACCCUGUUGGGGUUUGUUUCUGGGAAUAGUGCCCCUGUCGUGGAUACCAAAACAUGUGGAUGCUUAUGUGCCAUUAUAUACAAUGUUGUAAUAAAAUGGUGUCCCUUGUAUAAAAUGGCAAAAUCAAAAUUUGCUUUUGGAGUUUUUAAAAAAAUAUUUUGAAGUUGUGAGUAGGAAAUCUGUGGAUACAGAAUUCAUGGAUAUGGUGGGUCAACUGUAACUACGGUAUUUCAGGAAGCAUAAUAGUGAGGUUGGAGAAGGCUGUGAUAAUGAUGAUGGUCAUUUAUUUAUUGUGAGUAGUGCAAUCUGUGGAUAUAGAAUCCAUGAAUGAGGUGGGCCAAUUGUAAACUGAGGAGGCAAAAGAGUGAUUGCAGGAUGUGAUGAUGAUCAUGAUGAUGGUCAUGGAUUUACCUAGCGCCAUCAGUGUACAUACCAUUCUACAAGUAAAACAGCGAGUCUUGCCAAAGGUGUACAAUCUGAAAUAUAUAUGUGUGUAUGUACACCAUAGAACGACAGAAGAAACAAUUAAAUCUAAAUGAUCUAAUUGUAAAACAAUUAUCCAGAAAAAUACAAUGCCAUAUAAAAUAAAGCAAACUGGCCAAUGUAUGCAAUUAAAAUAUACAAAAUUAUAAAACAAGGUAAAACGGAAAGUGGUGAGAGAUGGCUACAAAUGAAGGCUGUUGAGAGGAAAGGUAGGAGCUGGGAUGGAGAGUACUAUUCCACAAGUCUUUCCAAUCACCCAGGAACUCUGGGAAAUAAUCGUGAUAAUCAUACAGGUUGUGUCAUUCUAUUCCUUAUGCCCUUUGGCCUCAAAGUGCUCUGUUUUGUUGCAGAUUGGGAUCAUAAUCAUAAAAGGACAAGAUUACUGUUGAUCUAGCGUAGGUUAGAAAUAGACUAGCAGCAACAGUAAUCGUAGGUCAUUACCAUUAAAUCAGAUACGAGAAAAAAGAACAUAAAUACAUGCAGUAUCCUAAUCACUGUUUUGGGAUGAGAAGAAAGAUGCCAUAAUAAUAGAAACUGAAGAAAAGAACCAAACUGGAUCAGACUGUAUAUCUCUUAAGUCUUUCUAUCCAAAAGUUUGCACAGAGGCUACUAGUUGCCCACAGAAAGCCCCUGCCAUGUCUCUUUCUCCAGCAACUGAAAUAUAGAGGCAUCCUGGUGUAAUGUUUUGACCAUCGGAUUAUGACUCUGUAGAACGGGGUUCAAAUUCCCACUCUGUCAUUGAAACCACUGGGUUACCUUAGGCAAGUCAAAUACAUUCAGCCUCAGGGGAAGACAAAGGCAAAUUGAAUGAAUCCUACCCAUAAAACCCCAUGAUAUGGCCGGAAACAAAUUGAAGGCACUCAAUAACUACCACCAUUCUUGGAUGCUAGAGGCAGUGCAUAGCCAUCAUGAUUUGGGGCCCUGUAGCCAUCACGUAUCUUGUGACAAUGAAAUCUAGAAUGAAAGUAUGUGUUGUGUGAAGAAGUAAUGUCCAGUAUCUCUAAUUAUUUAAUUUCUUUGGGAGAUCUGAUUUCUAGUAUGAGACAGAAGGAAAAUCUCUUCUUUUGAGUUCUUCACAUCAUGCAUAAUUUUAGACACUUUUGUUUUUCCCCUUGUUUAACUAUUUUCUAUGCAAAUAAAUCCCAAAUAUAUUUCUUCCUCAUAGCACAAUUACUGUGUCCUCUUGGUCAUUUUGGUUCCCCUUUUGAGCUGAACAUAAAUAUAGUUUAAAGGUGUAGUUCUAAUAACUUUAAACAGUAUUCCAAGUAUGGUUGGACUAUAAGGUAGUAUGCUAUUGCCAGUUUUACUUUACAUUCCCUUUCCAAAUUAUGCCCAGUAUGAUUUUUUUUUCUCUUUUAUGGCAUUUACAUAGGGCAUUUUUUGUUGAGCUAUCCGUCAUAAUCCUUUUUUGGUCAGUCAUUGUCAGUUGAUAUCCCAUCUGUAGUGAAGUUGGGAUUUUUCUACCAUAUAUAUGCCUGCUUAUAUUGAAUGUAGGUCGCUGUUUUAUUGUCCUGUCUUCCAGUUUGUGCUUUGAAAUAUGUUUUUGUUCUUUCUUCUCUAUAUAAUUUCAGGUUGUCACUGCUCCCUUCACUGCUCAUGUCAACUUAAAUUGUUUAUUUGAGAGUUUUCAGUUAAAUAUGUGUGAAACUGAGAAAUCUAGUAAUCUAAGGGUGUAGAGAUGAUCAUUCUUAUUUGUAGAGGAUAGGUGAGGGGUAAGGUUUUUUGACCUUGUAAGAGAAUUAGAUAUGAGAAGAGAAACAACAUUACAGGAGUCUCUCAUUUGAGAAUGGUUUAAUUUAAUGCUUCUUGAAAACAGGGAUCCUUGUUGGGGUAUUUUUGGAAGAUGGCAGCCAAUUAUAUAUUGUGUAAAUGCCAGUUUAAGUUAUGAUCUGUUUGAAUGUGCUAGCAUUGUUGAUACUUUACUUUCUAAAUUCCUACCUAAAUAUUUAAAAUUCGUGUUCCAGCUUUUAUUUGUAGUAGUUACAGUGUAACGUUACAGUACUGACACCAUUACAACCGUCUGUUGAGUUUGAGAUAACAUUACAGUUCCCAUUUUUCCCCACCCCUCUACCUGCAGUGUUAUAAUUGAUUCCUAUAUGUAGUAGAAGAUUGCAGAUUUAGUUGUGCUGCCUCAGUGUUACUGGAAAACCUUGCUAAAAAAAAAACAGACUAGGUGAACAAAGUUCUGCAUAUAUCCAGUGUUGGACUGGGAUGGAUGUUGCCCUUGGGUCACCAGCCAGUGAGUGUUGCCAUGACUGGCUGAAUGACAUUUGUGGAUGAGCCAAUUAGUACUUUUAAUUAAUUAAUAUACUGCUCUUCUUCCUCAGUGGGACCCACUUAUGUGUGUUGUUUACUCCAGUUUCCUCGAACAGGUGGUGCAAGGCAUUGGCUGCCAUACUGAAGUGAGUUUUUAGGGAAGAAACAUACAUUUGAUAUCAACAGGAUGAAAUACAGAAACACAAACAUGUACAUUUGUACUAGGCAUGGGCAAACUUUGGCCCUCAAGGUGUUUUGGACUUCAACUCCCACAAUUCCUAACAGCUGGUAGGCUUUUAGGAAUUGUGGGAGUUAAAGUACGAAACCCCUGGAGGUCCGAUGUUUGCCCAUGCCUGAUAUAUACACAUAGACAUGCAUAUACAUAUAUGGUUUCUUUUACAUUGGAAAAAUGACUGAUCCUUGAUGUUGUGUAGUUUGGGAAGCAUUUCUGUAGUCGGUGGAAUGUGACUGUAUUCUCCUUCACUGUAGUUGCCUUGUGUCCUCUCUACUAUGUUCAGCCUGACCUCCUGUCAGACUCCUUCUCCAUUACAAGAGAUUUUAAGGACCACCAAUUGAGCCCCAUUAUACCAUGCAGGAAUACACAACCAAAGCACUCCCAACAGAUAUGGCCAUCUGGCUUCUGUUUUAAAACUUCUAGAAAAGGAGAACCAAUCUCUUUCCGAGGCAGUACAUUCCACUAUCAAACAGCUCUUACUGUCAGGCAACUCUUUUUAAUAUUUAGGUAAUAACUAUUAUGAAUAUUUACAAAGUCUCAACAUUUAUGAAGAAAUCUUUCAAAACUAUGCAGAUUGGUAAAGGGAAAGUCUAGAUGCUACCUAACAUUGGUUAAUAAAGGAUGUUUUAAUGUAAUAAGUAUGGUAUGUAAAAAGGAUUUUCUUGUGAAAGUUGGCUUAUGUGUUAGCAUGGGCACUCUUAAAACAUCUGGGGGCUGCUUGUAUGAUGUAUUUCAUCAUCUUGGGAUUUUAGAAGUAUGUUUGGGAGCCAUUUUCCAGCGCCUCCCUUGCUUUUAGGAUUGCAGGAAGUUUUAUUUCAAAACCCUCCUGUGCCAGAGAACAACAACGUUGCAAAAUUGCCCUAACAGGUAGAGAUGUGGUCUAUAAACUCAGGUUUUGUGAAUGAGCCUGUAUUCAGCAGGGUUAAUUUGUUGCUACAAAAGCAAUAUAGUCUAUCUUAUCAUGGCACACACCUUCAUAGAUUACAGCUCACUUUAUUAAAUAAUGAAGUGGAAAUCAGUGAAAAGGUAUGCUGUAAUAAAAUAAGCUAGUCUUCUGGGUCCUCAAACUUUUUAAGCCGAGGGCCGGUCCACAAUCCUUCAGACUGUUGAGGGGCUGAACUAUCAUUUGAAAAAAAAUUAACAAAUUCCUAUGCACACUGCACAUAUCUUAUUUGUAAUGCAAGAAAACCCCAACAACAACAACAACAAUGAAAGAACAAUACAAUA